This is a long non-coding RNA of Camelus dromedarius (Arabian camel), 293 nucleotides long. RefSeq lists it as uncharacterized. NCBI's taxonomy places the organism in Eukaryota, Metazoa, Chordata, Mammalia, Artiodactyla, Camelidae. The record is from RefSeq and is a predicted model, not a curated record. The transcript has 3 exons.
UCUCUUGUCCCACUAAGUCAGGCUGCUCUCUCUUCUGUCCCUCCCUGUGGUCUCUCGCCUGAGUCCAGAAGAGAGGGACUGACUCCGGGAAAGCUCCCCAUUCACCAGGCACAGCUUUGGAGAUGAGACCCUGGUGGUAGCAGAUCCUGGGGCAACAAGGAUAAAUCAGCCAAACUGAACUAGGAGGACAAGCUGGGCCCAUUGCCUGUCCCAAGCAUCCUGGUGUUGGGCUCUCACUCACCGGAACCUGGCUGAUAGACCUCCCGGAUGUCCAGCUCCAGCAGCUCAGCACU